AUUGAACGCUGGCGGCAUGCCUUACACAUGCAAGUCGAACGGCAGCACGGGAGCAAUCCUGGUGGCGAGUGGCGAACGGGUGAGUAAAGUAUCGGAACGUGCCCAGUCGUGGGGGAUAACGUAGCGAAAGUUACGCUAAUACCGCAUACGAUCUAUGGAUGAAAGCGGGGGAUCGCAAGACCUCGCGCGAUUGGAGCGGCCGAUAUCAGAUUAGGUAGUUGGUGGGGUAAAGGCUCACCAAGCCGACGAUCUGUAGCUGGUCUGAGAGGACGGCCAGCCACACUGGGACUGAGACACGGCCCAGACUCCUACGGGAGGCGGCAGUGGGGAAUUUUGGACAAUGGGCGAAAGCCUGAUCCAGCCAUGCCGCGUGCAGGAUGAAGGCCUUCGGGUUGUAAACUGCUUUUGUACGGAACGAAAAGGUUUGGCCUAAUAAGCUGAGCUCAUGACGGUACCGUAAGAAUAAGCACCGGCUAACUACGUGCCAGCCGCCGCUGUAA
Molecule: ribosomal RNA, 500 nt
Filed under: uncultured bacterium
Lineage: Bacteria
Description: partial 16S ribosomal RNA
Rfam family: Bacterial small subunit ribosomal RNA
Source: RNAcentral